Molecule: non-coding RNA, 85 nt
Organism: Pelobates cultripes (western spadefoot toad)
Lineage: Eukaryota; Metazoa; Chordata; Amphibia; Anura; Pelobatidae
Source: the annotation of a GenBank genome assembly
CUCCCUCCCAGACCCUCCCACCUCCUGGACAGCAUCCAUUUUCAAAAUGGAUGCUGUCCAGGAGGUGGGAGGGUCUGGGAGGGAG